UCUCUUCCGAUCUCGCCUACGGGGGGCAGCAGUGGGGAAUAUUGGGCAAUGGGCGCAAGCCUGACCCAGCAACGCCGCGUGAAGGAAGAAGGCUUUCGGGUUGUAAACUUCUUUUCUCAGGGACGAAGCAAGUGACGGUACCUGAGGAAUAAGCCACGGCUAACUACGUGCCAGCAGCCGCGGUAAUACGUAGGUGGCAAGCGUUAUCCGGAUUUACUGGGUGUAAAGGGCGUGUAGGCGGGGACGCAAGUCAGAUGUGAAAACCACGGGCUCAACCUGUGGCCUGCAUUUGAAACUGUGUUUCC
RNAcentral lists this ribosomal RNA (305 nucleotides) under uncultured bacterium. RNAcentral's name for it is "bacterial SSU rRNA". It matches the Rfam family "Bacterial small subunit ribosomal RNA", at positions 324 to 642 of the family's 1533-position model. The record is from RNAcentral.